GGACAUAUAACUCAGGUGGUUAGAGUAUCACGUUGACAUCGUGAAUGUCACUGGUUCAAAUCCAGUUAUGUCCA
This 74-nucleotide transfer RNA is filed under the name Acrochaetium secundatum. RNAcentral's name for it is "tRNA-Val". It matches the Rfam family "tRNA". Rfam says of the family: Transfer RNA (tRNA) molecules are approximately 80 nucleotides in length. The record is from RNAcentral. Lineage: Eukaryota; Rhodophyta; Florideophyceae; Acrochaetiales; Acrochaetiaceae.